This is a regulatory RNA element of Ornithobacterium rhinotracheale DSM 15997, 33 nucleotides long. It matches the Rfam family "DUF805b RNA". From Rfam's summary of the family: Bacteroidetes, Chlorobi (1 example), Proteobacteria. Lineage (Flavobacteria) The record is from Rfam. NCBI's taxonomy places the organism in Bacteria, Pseudomonadati, Bacteroidota, Flavobacteriia, Flavobacteriales, Weeksellaceae.
AAAGGGGAAGCCGAAAACCUUAUAGAGUAGGCA